This 71-nucleotide transfer RNA is filed under the name Loxodonta africana (African savanna elephant). RNAcentral's name for it is "tRNA-Gly (TCC) (tRNA-Gly-TCC-12-1)". It matches the Rfam family "tRNA". From Rfam's summary of the family: Transfer RNA (tRNA) molecules are approximately 80 nucleotides in length. Their secondary structure includes four short double-helical elements and three loops (D, anti-codon, and T loops). The record is from Rfam by way of RNAcentral. Lineage: Eukaryota; Metazoa; Chordata; Mammalia; Proboscidea; Elephantidae.
GCAUUGGUGGUUCAGUGGUAGAAUUCUCGCCUUCCAUGUGGGAGACCUGGGUUCGAUUCCCAGCCAAAGCA